RNAcentral lists this ribosomal RNA (778 nucleotides) under uncultured Photobacterium sp. RNAcentral's name for it is "bacterial SSU rRNA". It matches the Rfam family "Bacterial small subunit ribosomal RNA", at positions 56 to 817 of the family's 1533-position model. The record is from RNAcentral. Lineage: Bacteria; Pseudomonadati; Pseudomonadota; Gammaproteobacteria; Vibrionales; Vibrionaceae.
UGCAGUCGAGCGGCAGCGACUUAACUGAACCUUCGGGGAACGUUAAGGGCGGCGAGCGGCGGACGGGUGAGUAAUGCCUGGGAAUAUGCCCUGAUGUGGGGGAUAACUAUUGGAAACGAUAGCUAAUACCGCAUAACCUCUUCGGAGCAAAGAGGGGGACCUUCGGGCCUCUCGCGUCAGGAUUAGCCCAGGUGGGAUUAGCUUGUUGGUGAGGUAAUGGCUCACCAAGGCAACGAUCCCUAGCUGGUCUGAGAGGAUGAUCAGCCACACUGGAACUGAGACACGGUCCAGACUCCUACGGGAGGCAGCAGUGGGGAAUAUUGCACAAUGGGGGAAACCCUGAUGCAGCCAUGCCGCGUGUGUGAAGAAGGCCUUCGGGUUGUAAAGCACUUUCAGUAGGGAGGAAGGUAGUGUAGUUAACACCUGCACUAUUUGACGUUACCUACAGAAGAAGCACCGGCUAACUCCGUGCCAGCAGCCGCGGUAAUACGGAGGGUGCGAGCGUUAAUCGGAAUUACUGGGCGUAAAGCGCAUGCAGGCGGCCUGUUAAGUCAGAUGUGAAAGCCCGGGGCUUAACCUCGGAAUUGCAUUUGAAACUGGCAGGCUAGAGUCUUGUAGAGGGGGGUAGAAUUUCAGUGUAGCGGUGAAAUGCGUAGAGAUCUGAAGAAUACCAGUGGCGAAGCGGCCCCCUGGACAAAGACUGACGCUCAGAUGCGAAAGCGUGGGGAGCAAACAGGAUUAGAUACCCCGGUAGUCCACGCCGUAAACGAUGUCUACU